RNAcentral lists this ribosomal RNA (434 nucleotides) under uncultured bacterium. RNAcentral describes it as "bacterial SSU rRNA". It matches the Rfam family "Bacterial small subunit ribosomal RNA", at positions 32 to 507 of the family's 1533-position model. The record is from RNAcentral.
GAACGACGCUGGCGGCAUCGCCUAACACAUGCAAGUCGAACGAAGCCUUCGGGCUUAGUGGCGCACGGGUGCGUAACACGUGGGAAUCUGCCCUUCGGUUCGGAAUAACAGUUAGAAAUGACUGCUAAUACCGGAUGAUGACGUAAGUCCAAAGAUUUAUCGCCGAAGGAUGAGCCCGCGUAGGAUUAGGUAGUUGGUAGGGUAAUGGCCUACCAAGCCGACGAUCCUUAGCUGGUCUGAGAGGAUGAUCAGCCACACUGGGACUGAGACACGGCCCAGACUCCUACGGGAGGCAGCAGUGGGGAAUAUUGGACAAUGGGCGAAAGCCUGAUCCAGCAAUGCCGCGUGAGUGAUGAAGGCCUUAGGGUUGUAAAGCUCUUUUACCAGGGAUGAUAAUGACAGUACCUGGAGAAUAAGCUCCGGCUAACUCCGUG